Molecule: long non-coding RNA, 540 nt
Filed under: Crocodylus porosus (Australian saltwater crocodile)
Lineage: Eukaryota; Metazoa; Chordata; Crocodylia; Crocodylidae
Description: lncRNA (ENSCPRG00005017268.1)
Source: RNAcentral
CAACAAAGGAUGCACUCUUGACAGCGCUGGCUUACAGUAGCCGUAAACUACAAACUGGAAGAGCACUGGUGUAAUCUCAGCAACACAAAUCAUGUUAGACUGUGACACUGAUGACCCUGACAUUCAGCAACAAAGAACUGUGGAAGAAAGGAGAGAGAGAGGUGGCUGGUAUGCAGGAUGAAGAAAGGCAGCAGGAGAAGGAAAAAUCUGUGGGUCAAAGCAUUUUUAAACAAAAUCUCUAGGUUCACAUCUUCAGACAUUUCAGAUGCAUGCAAGAUGACCAAGAAGAAAAUGAGGCCCCUCUUACCCUGGGCUUCCCAACACCUGUUUGUGGUGAAAGGAUAUAAACAGUGUUGCAAGAUUCCUCAGUGUUAACUCUUGCCUGACAGUUUAAGCUAAUUGGUACAAGGUCAUCCAGUUUUUCCUCUGCCCAACGUCCCCUGCCAUCUCCACAUUUGGUAUCUUCUUUGGUGAGUGACCUCCCAGUUUUGCCAUGUCAUGACCUGGAAGCUCAAUGUGUAUCAUAUUUCACACAUGUUU